GGAUUGUAGGCUGAAACCCGCCUACAUGAAGCUGGAAUUGCUAGUAAUCAUAGGUCAGCAUACUAUGGUGAAUACGUUCCCGGGCCUUGUACACACCGCCCGUCACACCAUGAGAGUUGAGAAUACCCGAAGUCCAUGUCAAAGUGGCCGAAGGUAGGCUUGAUGAUUGGGGUGAAGUCGUAACAAGGUACC
RNAcentral lists this ribosomal RNA (192 nucleotides) under uncultured bacterium. RNAcentral's name for it is "partial 16S ribosomal RNA". It matches the Rfam family "Bacterial small subunit ribosomal RNA", at positions 1295 to 1500 of the family's 1533-position model. The record is from RNAcentral.